RNAcentral lists this unclassified non-coding RNA (299 nucleotides) under Hevea brasiliensis (rubber tree). The record is from RNAcentral. Lineage: Eukaryota; Viridiplantae; Streptophyta; Magnoliopsida; Malpighiales; Euphorbiaceae.
UUGUUGGCGCGGAAGUAGUCCGCGAGAUUGAGCUGUGUCGUGGUGCCGGCCUGGACGCAAACCUUGCUGCCGUCGAGUUCAAGGCCGGACGUGAUGUUGCGCGACUGGCGCACCAUGAAGCCUUCGCCGUCAUAAUAGGCGACCGCCGCGAAAUUCAGGCCAUACUCGGUUUCGCGCGACAUGCUCCAGGUGGAGUUGCGCGACAGGAUGUCGACCUUGCGAUUGCGCAAUUCCUUGAAGCGCUCGCUGGCGUCGAGGGGAAUGAACUUCACCUUGUUCGGAUCGUUGAAGAUCGCGGC